AGGAACAGUCACAGUGCAGUUCUUCCUGGAUCCACAUAUAUAUUGCUUCAGGGACCAGAAAAAAUACCCGUCUUCUCUAUUUCCAGAAGAUUAGAGUUAUUUGUGGGAGACCAAACAGUGAGGAUGGAGACCGAACUGACCUCUGGGAGCACAAAGGAGGAAAAGUAGCAAGCUGUGCUCCUUCGGCAGCAUGCAGGCGCCCUGGCAUACGGCGGGUACUAAGGAAGAACCAACACAGCUGAGAUGCCCUCUGCCAUGUUAUGAUGUUGCAAGAAGCCUCACCAGAUGCAAGGACAGAUGCUGGAGCCAUACUCUUGGAGUUCCUAGCCUUC
Long non-coding RNA from Chinchilla lanigera (long-tailed chinchilla), 332 nucleotides. RefSeq lists it as uncharacterized. The transcript has 3 exons. NCBI's taxonomy places the organism in Eukaryota, Metazoa, Chordata, Mammalia, Rodentia, Chinchillidae. The record is from RefSeq and is a predicted model, not a curated record.